GGCUCAACCAANGUAUGCUUUGGAAACUGUUAGACUNGAGUGCAGAAGGGGAGAGUGGAAUUCCAUGUGUAGCGGUGAAAUGCGUAGAUAUAUGGAGGAACACCGGUGGCGAAAGCGGCUNUCUGGUCUGUCACUGACGCUGAGGCUCGAAAGCGUGGGUAGCGAACAGGAUUAGAUACCNUGGUAGUCCACGCCGUAAACGCUGAGUGCUAGGUGUUAGGUCCUUUCCGGGACUUAGUGCCGACGCUAACGCAUUAAGCACUCCGCCUGGGGAGUACGACCGCAAGGUUGAAACUCAAAGGAAUUGACGGGGGCCCGCACAAGCGGUGGAGCAUGUGGUUUAAUUCGAAGCAACGCGAAGAACCUUACCAGGUCUUGACAUCCCGAUGCCCGCUCUAGAGAUAGAGUUUUACUUUUUGUACAUCGGAGACAGGUGGUGCAUGGUUGUCGUCAGCUCGUGUCGUGAGAUGUUGGGUUAAGUNNNNNNACGAGCGCAACCCUUAUUGUUAGUUGCCAUCAUUAAGUUGGGCACUCUAGCGAGACUGCCGGUAAUAAACCGGAGGAAGGUGGGGAUGAUGUCAAAUCAUCAUGCCCCUUAUGACCUGGGCUACACACGUGCUACAAUGGUUGGUACAACGAGUCGCAAGCCGGUGACGGCAAGCUAAUCUCUGAAAGCCAAUCUCAGUUCGGAUUGUAGGCUGCAACUCGCCUACAUGAAGUCGGAAUCGCUAGUAAUCGCGGAUCAGCACGCCGCGGUGAAUACGUUCCCGGGCCUUGU
Molecule: ribosomal RNA, 778 nt
Filed under: uncultured bacterium
Lineage: Bacteria
Description: bacterial SSU rRNA
Rfam family: Bacterial small subunit ribosomal RNA
Source: RNAcentral